GAUGAACGCUAGCGGCAGGCCUAACACAUGCAAGUCGAACGGUAGAAAUUAGCAAUAAUUUCGAGAGUGGCGCACGGGUGCGUAACACGUAUGCAACCUACCUCUAACUGGGAAAUAGCCCGGAGAAAUUCGGAUUAAUAUCCCAUAGCAACUAGAUACUGCAUAGUAUUUAGUUUAAAACUACGGUGGUUAGAGAUGGGCAUGCGUUCUAUUAGCUAGUUGGUAAGGUAAAGGCUACCAAGGCUACGAUAGAUAGGGGGCCUGAGAGGGUUAU
This 274-nucleotide ribosomal RNA is filed under the name uncultured bacterium. RNAcentral's name for it is "partial 16S ribosomal RNA". It matches the Rfam family "Bacterial small subunit ribosomal RNA", at positions 28 to 304 of the family's 1533-position model. The record is from RNAcentral.